CAUCAAUUUAAAGAGUUCAAGCUUUUCACAACUUCCACUUGCAAAUGAACGCGAUUCGUUUCCAUAGAGAGUGUUUGGAAGGAGAGUGGCAAGGACAUCUGAAAGUGUAAAGCACUUUUUUUUUUUCCCACCCCCGAUGCCCUGGGAAAUUCGCCUCACCCCCAAGGUUUGUGGAGGCGGUGGAGGAGGCAGUAACUCUGGUCAGGCUGCCUGCGGAUAUAGCCCCUUGCCUCGGCUGCCUUAUUGCCAGUUACAUUAAACACAGUCUAUGACAAGAGUUUAUUGAUACUCUACGGCAGUCAACAUCCGCUGAUGAUGGUGAACAUCAUCCUACACAAUAACCCUUCUCUCCCUGGUCUCUCUCACACCAGCCAUGAAGGGUUUCGAAGCCACACGGCACAAUCGAGGGAGCACGACACACAGCUUAGCGACCGUGAUCUGUGAACCUCUCCUCGCUGGAACCUUCUCAGGUAGAAUGACUUGGGCACCCAUUUCCUCUGUCUCUAAAGCAGCAGCACGUGCAUCGAAGGCCAGAACAGCUCUCCUGUAGCCACUGUGAACACAGAUCUCCCGGACAGGGCCCGGGGACCUCAUUUGGUGGGGACCAUAGAAGGCCUGGGUGGGCUAUGGGCGGCAAAGAAUUUGCUCUCCUUCUGUGUUGUAGCUUUUAAAGGGAAAGCCUUGGAUCACUAGAUUUUCUCACAGUGUUCUCUUGCUCGAGGAACUUGGGUGAAGUUGCUCUGGGUUGGGAUUGGGGGACAUUUACAAAUACUGCCUUCAGGGCACCUUCAGGGGGGCUCAGUUGGUUGAGCAUCCAACUCUUGAUUUCGGCUUAGGUCAUGAUCUCACGGUUUGUGAGUUUGAGCCCAUGUCGGGUUCCGUGCUGACUUGGGACUCUCUCUCUGUAUUUGUCUCUUUCUCUAUCUUUCUCUCUAAAAUUAUAUAUAUAUAUAUAUAUAUAUAUAUAUAUAUAUAUAUAUAUAUAUAUAAUAUAAAUAAUAUAAAUAUACAAUAUAUAUAUAUUUUAAUGGGUGG
Molecule: long non-coding RNA, 1035 nt
Filed under: Felis catus (domestic cat)
Lineage: Eukaryota; Metazoa; Chordata; Mammalia; Carnivora; Felidae
Description: lncRNA (ENSFCAG00000051501.1)
Source: RNAcentral